Molecule: ribosomal RNA, 468 nt
Filed under: uncultured bacterium
Lineage: Bacteria
Description: partial 16S ribosomal RNA
Rfam family: Bacterial small subunit ribosomal RNA
Source: RNAcentral
GACGAACGCUGGCGGCGUGCUUAACACAUGCAAGUCGAACGGAAAGGCCCUGCUUUUGUGGGGUGCUCGAGUGGCGAACGGGUGAGUAACACGUGAGUAACCUGCCCUUGACUUUGGGAUAACUUCAGGAAACUGGGGCUAAUACCGGAUAGGAGCUCCUGCUGCAUGGUGGGGGUUGGAAAGUUUCGGCGGUUGGGGAUGGACUCGCGGCUUAUCAGCUUGUUGGUGGGGUAGUGGCUUACCAAGGCUUUGACGGGUAGCCGGCCUGAGAGGGUGACCGGCCACAAUGGGCCUAAGAUACGGCCCAGACUCCUACGGGAGGCAACAGUGGGGAAUAUUGCACAAUGGGCGGACGCCUGAUGCAGAAACGCCGCGUGCGGGAUGACGGCCUUCGGGUUGUAAACCGCUUUCGCCUGUGACGAAGAGUGAGUGACGGUAAUGAGUAAAGAAGCACCGGCUAACUACGUG